UCUCACGGUCUGUAGCAAAAUUUAACAAUUUUCCUGCAGCAUAAAAGACCUGGAAGAACAUUUAAAAAAAAAAAUCUAAUUGGGAGCCUUUUAAUUGAAUUAAAUAUUAAUAUGGCUAAUGCGAUCGAUGCCGUAUUGAUUGUGUUAGCCACAAUAAUGUUUAAUUCAAUGAGUCUGCGGUGCUGGACCUCUUCCUUCCCUGUAUUUAUUCGGUAUUGUGCAGCAGCACAAUGCCCUUAUGCUCUGCCCCACCUCAUGCUGGGGGAGCAGAGACAAUAUUGCUGUCGAUGUAAGCAUUGCCCGUCACCCCCACACGCUUUGCUUCUGCAGCCCGGGUCCGAUGCGAUGGUCCUGUCCCUCCCUUAGCAGCUGAGUCCCAGCAGCUGUGGCAAAACGGGAAGAUUUCCUCCCCGCAAGCUCCCUACCAUGUUCCUGAAGAGGUGCCAGGUUCUGGCUUUAAACUCAGCCAACCUUGAAGAAUUUUAUUUGUGGUUGUAAGCAGAAGGUUUUUAUUAAAUUAAACUUCAUGGUUUUGUUUAACUGAAAAAAUCGGAGGCAGAUGUUCUCCCCAUUUCAAUCCACUUACAGUACAAGCUUUCUGGCCUCUGUUUUAUUUAUUUAUUUACCUAUUUAUUUAAUUAUUUAUUGCUGUGUUACUCUCAUUUCAUACCACCUACAUUUGUCGAAUCCAAGGAAAAUCCUUUUUUUUUUUUUUUCUUUUUUCUUUUUUUUCCAUGCGUUUCCUCCUCAGCUAAGCAGCAGGGCUGGCAGGUACCAGCGUGAGUCCACGCCGAUGGUUUCUGGCUGCCUUUUGGGGUGAUAAAUCUUUGUACAUGUUAAAAUAUUUGAUCACUGGUGGCGAAACACGUCUGUGUGCAGCAGGGAAAGUGGCUAUAACCAGCCCUUGGGAUGUGUUGCGUAUUCCCACACCUAAUUAGAGCACAUUAAGCCUCCUCCCGAGACCCUACCGGAGAGCCCCAGCAGCACCCUCCUCCUGCACCUUCUCCCCGUUAUUUCCAGGCACCAUGCCAUUAUUCAGGCUACAUGGCAUGAGUGCAUGCGCUGAAAUCUGUGCUCCCUGGAGAAAAAAAGACGCAACACUCCCAUGCCCCUGCUUCUCCAACUCUUCUCCAGAUCCCAGCACUUUGAUCAUUUCACAUGCAAAGGAUAAUUAUUUUUUUGGUUGAAACAAGGGAUGGAUUGCAGAUCGAUGGAGUCUGCUGUAUGUUCUCGUGUGUUAUCCCUGCCACACCCCGUCAGAGCGUUUCCUUACGGAAGGAGCUUGAAGAAUUGUUUGUGGCUUGGAUUUCUGAUCCCUGGAUUACUACAGCCAGCAAUGGAAAGAGAAAAAAAGAAAUAAGAAUAAAGAAAAGUUAUAAUGCAUCCUGCAUGAGAGUCACUGAAGGCUGGGCCUCUUCUGGAGACCAAUUCCUCUUUAGAAAGGCUGUGACACCUCGAGGUCUCCCUAGGACAAGGCUUGAGAAUGGUCACCCGCCGGCUGCCCCAGCACAGGGAUGUGACACAACGCUUGCUACGUAUCGCAGUGGUUUACAAGAGGUGGGACUGCAAAUGAUGCCUCGGUCCCCAGACUCCAGCUGGGUGGAGACCGACCUUGGAUCUUGGUUCUUGGAUCUUUGCACCCAAGAGGAGCAGGCAGGAAAACCCCAUCGUCUCGUGGCCCUUGUGAUAUCUCCACCUGGUAGGAAUUACAAUAUCCCCAAUUUCCCUGCGCUGUCCCCUUGCUGGGAGGGGAAAUCCUUCACCCUCGGGGAAAUUUUAACAGAGCAGGGCUCAUGAAGGGUGGCCCCAAAGUGCCUUCUGCUCCUUGCCCUGGGCCGCCUUCUAUUAGAUAUUUCUCAUGCUGCUGACAAAACAGUGGGAUUUAGGAGGUUUUUAGUGAAACCACGAAGGCUAAUACAUCCUACGGGACUUCACACCAUGGUAACAAACAGGCUUUAUUUUCCAGGCGGGUCUCCAUAUGUUUUCUUUUAAUGCUGGCGGGGCAGGGAGGGGUAAUGCCUCUGUUUGUUUAGAGAUGCAAUUAACCCAAGCGCAGAGGGCUGCAGCAAGCCAAGAGAAUAACCUUGAAUCCAGAGAAAGUUAGGGGAAAUUUAAAGCCAUCUGCAGCUCCAAUGGGUCCCUGCGCACCCCUUUUGCUCACAGUUUCUAUUCAUGCCGAUAAAGUGCCAGAAGAUAUGCAAUACAAUGGAAAAUUGCUUCUUUGGGUAUCAUAGCAUCUUGACUUAGAAGUGCUUUAACCUUGGCCUCAUGCUUCCUGCGGGGCCUGUUGUCUUUGCUGCAGAAGUGCCGACACCAGCCGGGAGCGUGCAGAAUUUUUCAUUCGAGUAAAAUUAAAGCCCAAAACCUUUUACCAUCCUCUCGAUUCCAGGCAUGUUCUACCUGCAUUAAAUUGAGCUUAAUGGACUGCAAAACGAGUGUUUCAGCACGUAUGGGAGUGGGUUAUUUGCAAGAGGACAGGUUCCUCACAUCCCCUUUCCCCCCAGCCCUGCCGUCCCCCAGGACCACGUGCGUCCAUCCACGUGGGGGACGAAGACAUCGCUACCACAGAACAGCUCCAGAGCAAAGCCACAGAAGAAGUCUUCCAAAAAGCCUUUGAGCCACCGAAGAGAAACACAUCAUUGCUCAUGCUGUGCUGGAGGCUGUGGGUUUGCUCUUUGGCUUCAUGUUUUGCAGCUCCGUGCUGAUGCUGCCUGGCUCCAGGCUCCCUGCAGCGGGGACAGGGACGGUCGUGUCAGGUGGGACUCGACUCACGACGUGCCACGUAAUGUAUUAACGAGGACGGAGGAAAGCAAUGCUCUCUGGAUGGGCUUUGCCACUGUUUGGGGGACAAUUUGGGGUUAAAAAGUGUGACUUUGGGGUAAAUAUCCCUGGGAGGAAGGAUUGCCUUUCUAGAGCCAUGCAUGUUUCUCUUCUUCUCCCCAUCUCCCACCAUGCCUGGGCCAGCUGUGCAGUUUCGCUGCAGCCGGGGUUUUGCCCAGGGGAAGUAUUUGUGUGCUUCCCUCCACAGUCACUUUUCCAUCUGCAGAAGUCUCUGUUCCUCACAUUGAAAGUGUUGCCUGUACGACCCUGCUCUUCUCUUACUCCAUUUCAAGAGCAUUCCUUGCCUUCCUCUAUUUACAUGCCCCAGGCUGUACCAUUUCUUACUCUGUGCCCUUCAUCCUUCAUCUUUCCAGCCCAACUCUCCACCUUCCCUGGCUCUCUUCCUUACCAAGUGCCUGUCCUUCUCUCCGUCCUUCACCACUUCCCUCCCUUUUGGUCACAUUCUUAUCUCCUCUGUCUCCCAUUUAAUCUCUGAUCUAACUUGGGCCAGUCCAGCUCGUACAGAGCAGUGGCAUCAUUUGGCCGUCCGUCCGUCCGUCCGUCCAUCCAUCCAUCCAUCCCUUUAUCCCAUAAUCUCAGUCUGCAGCCCCCGUAGUCCCAGCUGGCCUUACAAACGAGCACACACUAUGGGGUCCUGGCGGUGUGCCCCCUGCUACCAGGCCACCCUGUGCCACGCGCCCCGUCGAACCUGUGCAGCUCUGAGCACAGCCCUGCUGCAAUCCAAACCCGUCCCUGAGCAUCACCCAGGGGAAGGGGAAGGCCGGGGGGAGGUUGUGCUCCUCCAUCAAAUAACAUAUGUAUCAGACACCUUUCCCUUGAGACGGCAGCCUCUGGAAGCCCAAGACGAACCUUUCAACAAGAUUAAAGAGAUGGUAUUAAUUGCUAUCGAUCAUGGGUCAACAAAUUAAAUUGCAUCUGCAACUGCAUCUCUGAAAGGUCUAAAUGAGAAGAGUAGUUAAUGGGUCUGGCUGGCCCAGAGCUGUGAUUAAUUAAAGGGAGAAAUGAACUAAAACACACACACAAAAAAAAAUGGAAAGAAAGGAGAUUGAGAUGAGGUUGAAACGCUUUGUAAAUAAACACGCUCAGAAAAAAAAAAUGUAUCUGGGGAGAGCUGGAUGGGAUUUCAAUUCCGGAUUCCACUCUGUCAGACCUGGGGCUGGCUGCCACGAUUUUGGGCUGUUCUGCUCUGAGUACCCCAGGUGCAGCUGAAGGGGGGUCAAAACAGGGACCUGGUGCCUAACCCUGCUUGAUCUGGGGGAACCAGAGCCCUUCCAACAUCUGAGCCAGGACCUCUUGGUGCCCCCACAGUCCAUGCUCCUGGGAGCGAUGCUCCAGCUCAUGGUGCAUGGUCCCUGGGGCUCCCUUUGGCUUUAUUUAUUAUUAUUAUUAUUUGGAUUAAAAAAUUUUGGGGGGAAUAACAUGCUCGUGAUCCACCUCGCCACGGGCAGAGCAGAACCAAAAGGGUUUUCCCGUGGGGAGCUGGGGCAAGGGAGCAAGGGCGCUGCCGCUGCUUCUUGGAAAUAAUUAACUAGCACAGCAUGGGAUGUAGAUGGCGUUUAAUUAAUAAUGAAGAAAAUAAUAAUAUGUGGCACGUAUAGCGCUGCACUUGUUCCAAGCACUGUACAAACAUUAACUACAGUAAUUAAGCUGUAAUUAAUUAGAGUAACCGCUAAUCACUGUAAAUAAUGAUGCAUCUGGAGGUAGCGAAAGGAGUCUGCGGGCUGAAAGCAAAGUUCUGGGUUUGGGAAGUGGCAUCGAGGAUAAAGUGGCACCUGGGGGGGGACCGAGCGCGUGGAGGGGCCAGAGCUGGUGGGAAGCUGCGGUCAGCAGAGUCACAGACACCACAGGUAGAGAAUUUUUUUUUUUUUUUUGCUGGUUCACACACUUUAUAUUUAACAAAAUAAUUUUUUAAUAAUAUAUUCUUUUACACGUCAAAUAUUGUUUCUAGAACCCCCACCCCCCCCGCUUUUUUUUUUACAGAAUAGUUUUGUUUUUUGUUGUUUUUGUUUUCUUUUUCUCACUAGUUUCAGGCACACUAUUGUUUGAAAAUGCUGAAGCUGGGCAGUCACUGACAGGCAGCAGCUUACAACUCAACGUGACGAUGGCUUCGCUCGCGGUGCGCUGCGGGGAGCAAAUCCUCGGCCGCAGCACGGCCAGCACCGCCCUGGUGCCUGUCCUGUGCCAGCCGAGGGCCUGCCCCCGCCGAAACACAAAAUGGGGACGAAAUAAAAGGAUAAAGGCAGCGCUGCGGCGCCGCUGAGCGUGCUGGCUGGUGUCGCUGGAGGAUGCCGUGGGCAGGAUUUGCUGGGCCGACGUCUGCCCAAAGUGAUGGUGAUGGGCAAAAAGCAGCAACCAGGGGCGUGGGUGGAGGAGGGACCCUGGUGGCUUUUCCCUUGCCGUACCGGCACGAAGGGAACUGGUGCACGGGGGUUUGGUCCCUGCUGCCAGCGUGUCCCAGUCCUCCCGUGCCUGUGGCUUUGGCUGCUCCCAGGAACACGGGUGGCUGUGCCCUGGCCCCUGAGGGGAGCCCCAGGCUCUCUCCACCACCCCAAUGGGACAUCACAUCCAGAGGUGAGCCAAACCCCAUCCCAAGCCCUCAAAACUCCCUUCCUGGGUAAGCUUGGCCCUGAAAAAUCACAGGGAGAGUAACUGGCCCGAGAGAAAGAGCUGGGGAGAAACCUCUCAGACCCAGGGAGGCGGCUGCUUUCCCGAUGUCCUGGCGAGGAUGUUGGUGCCCAGGUAGGUGUCCCCAUGCAGUGGGGAAGGUGUAGCACGGGUACAGCUCACCUCGGGGCGUCCAACCUCAUAGCCACGCACCCACCUCCAUCCUCCCACAGGGCACGUUCCCCUUGUGUUUCUCAGCCCCAUUCUCCCCUUUUGGUCUUUGUCUCCCCCGCCCUCCCCCCCAGCAUAGACACAACAGGAAUUACCCAGCGCUUCGCUCAUAGCUGUAUUGCCCCGACUGUCCCAGCUUAGGAAGAGGCUUUAAAAAAAAAAA
Molecule: non-coding RNA, 5839 nt
Organism: Anas platyrhynchos (mallard)
Lineage: Eukaryota; Metazoa; Chordata; Aves; Anseriformes; Anatidae
Source: RefSeq, a predicted model, not a curated record